Molecule: ribosomal RNA, 176 nt
Filed under: uncultured bacterium
Lineage: Bacteria
Description: partial 16S ribosomal RNA
Rfam family: Bacterial small subunit ribosomal RNA
Source: RNAcentral
GCUGGAAUCGCUAGUAAUCGCGGAUCAGAAUGCCGCGGUGAAUACGUUCCCGGGUCUUGUACACACCGCCCGUCACACCAUGGGAGUCAGUAACGCCCGAAGUCAGUGACCUAACCGAAAGGGAGGAGCUGCCGAAGGCGGGACGGAUGACUGGGGUGAAGUCGUAACAAGGUAUC